GAGUUGAUGCCAGAGCGGUUACUGGGGACGGACUGUAAAUUCGUUAGAAAUAUGUUUACGCUGGUUCAAAUCAAACUCGGCCCA
Solanum lycopersicum (tomato) is the source of this 84-nucleotide non-coding RNA. The record is from Rfam. Lineage: Eukaryota; Viridiplantae; Streptophyta; Magnoliopsida; Solanales; Solanaceae.